This 500-nucleotide ribosomal RNA is filed under the name uncultured bacterium. Its description in RNAcentral is "bacterial SSU rRNA". It matches the Rfam family "Bacterial small subunit ribosomal RNA", at positions 26 to 518 of the family's 1533-position model. The record is from RNAcentral.
AGAACGAACGCUGGCGGCGCGUUUAAGCAUGCAAGUCGGAGCGGCAGCAGCAUGCGAGAGCGGCGGACGGGUGAGUAACACGUGGGUAAUCUCGCCCUCCGGUACGGGAAUAGCCUGUGGAAACACAGGAUAAUACCGGGAUGCGAUGGUCCCCGCACAAGCGGGGGUCAGGAAAGGAGCCAAGGCUCCGCCGGAGGAUGAGCCCGCGUCCCAUUAGCUUGAUGGUGAGGUAAAGGCCCACCAGUGGCGAUGAUGGGUAGCCGGCCUGAGAGGGUGAACGGCCACAUUGGAACUGAGACACGGUCCAGACUCCUACGGGAGGCAGCAGCUAAGAAUCUUCCACAAUGGACGAAAGUCUGAUGGAGCGACGCCGCGUGGGCGAAUGAAGGCCGUGAGGUUGUAAAGCCCUUUUCUUGAGGGGGAAUAACGCAGGCAGGGAAUGGCCUGCGGAUGACGUGAAUCAAGGAAUAAGCCCCGGCUAACUACGUGCCAGCCGCCGC